This 45-nucleotide non-coding RNA is filed under the name Schistosoma curassoni. Lineage: Eukaryota; Metazoa; Platyhelminthes; Trematoda; Strigeidida; Schistosomatidae. The record is from RNAcentral.
AUUCAUCUGGUGAAUCCCAAAUAGAAAGAAACGCGCGUCCCGAAU